AUACGUAGGUGGCAAGCGUUGUCCGGAUUUAUUGGGCGUAAAGCGAGCGCAGGCGGUUUCUUAAGUCUGAUGUGAAAGCCCCCGGCUCAAACGGGGAGGGUCAUUGGAAACUGGGAGACUUGAGUGCAGAAGAGGAGAGUGGAAUUCCAUGUGUAGCGGUGAAAUGCGUAGAUAUAUGGAGGAACACCAGUGGCGAAGGCGGCUCUCUGGUCUGCAACUGACGCUGAGGCUCGAAAGCGUGGGGAGCAAACAGGAUUAGAUACCCUGGUAGUCCACGCCGUAAACGAUGAGUGCUAAGUGUUGGAGGGUUUCCGCCCUUCAGUGCUGCAGCAAACGCAUUAAGCACUCCGCCUGGGGAGUACGACCGCAAGGUUGAAACUCAAAGGAAUUGGCGGGG
RNAcentral lists this ribosomal RNA (397 nucleotides) under uncultured bacterium. RNAcentral's name for it is "partial 16S ribosomal RNA". It matches the Rfam family "Bacterial small subunit ribosomal RNA", at positions 523 to 918 of the family's 1533-position model. The record is from RNAcentral.